AGGGGCCUGGGGGGCGGGCUUACACAUGCAGUCGAACGAUGAACCGCUUUCGGGCGGGGAUUAGUGGCGAACGGGUGAGUAACACGUGGGCAAUCUGCCCUGCACUCUGGGACAAGCCCUGGAAACGGGGUCUAAUACCGGAUAUGACUGUCCAUCGCAUGGUGGAUGGUGUAAAGCUCCGGCGGUGCAGGAUGAGCCCGCGGCCUAUCAGCUUGUUGGUGAGGUAGUGGCUCACCAAGGCGACGACGGGUAGCCGGCCUGAGAGGGCGACCGGCCACACUGGGACUGAGACACGGCCCAGACUCCUACGGGAGGCAGCAGUGGGGAAUAUUGCACAAUGGGCGAAAGCCUGAUGCAGCGACGCCGCGUGAGGGAUGACGGCCUUCGGGUUGUAAACCUCUUUCAGCAGGGAAGAAGCGAAAGUGACGGUACCUGCAGAAGAAGCGCCGGCUAACUACGUGCCAGCAGCCGCGGUAAUACGUAGGGCGCAAGCGUUGUCCGGAAUUAUUGGGCGUAAAGAGCUCGUAGGCGGCUUGUCACGUCGGUUGUGAAAGCCCGGGGCUUAACCCCGGGUCUGCAGUCGAUACGGGCAGGCUAGAGUUCGGUAGGGGAGAUCGGAAUUCCUGGUGUAGCGGUGAAAUGCGCAGAUAUCAGGAGGAACACCGGUGGCGAAGGCGGAUCUCUGGGCCGAUACUGACGC
Molecule: ribosomal RNA, 700 nt
Filed under: Streptomyces violascens
Lineage: Bacteria; Bacillati; Actinomycetota; Actinomycetes; Kitasatosporales; Streptomycetaceae
Description: bacterial SSU rRNA
Rfam family: Bacterial small subunit ribosomal RNA
Source: RNAcentral